CAGGUGGUGCAUGGGUUGUCGUCAGCUCGUGUCGUGAGAUGUUGGGUUAAGUCCCGCAACGAGCGCAACCCUCGCCUCUAGUUGCCAGCAUUCGGUUGGGCACUCUAGAGGGACUGCCGGCGACAAGUCGGAGGAAGUGGGAUGACGUCAAAUCAUCAUGCCCCUUAUGACCUGGGCUACACACGUGCUACAAUGGGCGGUACAAAGGGCUGCGAACCCGCGAGGGGGAGUGAAUCCCAAAAAGCCGCUCUCAGUUCGGAUUGCAGGCUGCAACUCGCCUGCAUGAAGCCGGAAUCGCUAGUAAUCGCGGAUCAGCAUGCCGCGGUGAAUACGUUCCCGGGCCUU
RNAcentral lists this ribosomal RNA (345 nucleotides) under uncultured Geobacillus sp. RNAcentral describes it as "bacterial SSU rRNA". It matches the Rfam family "Bacterial small subunit ribosomal RNA", at positions 1035 to 1382 of the family's 1533-position model. The record is from RNAcentral. Lineage: Bacteria; Bacillati; Bacillota; Bacilli; Caryophanales; Anoxybacillaceae.